AGUGAACGCUGGCGGUAGGCCUAACACAUGCAAGUCGAACGGCAGCACAGUAAGAGCUUGCUCUUACGGGUGGCGAGUGGCGGACGGGUGAGGAAUACAUCGGAAUCUACUUUUUCGUGGGGGAUAACGUAGGGAAACUUACGCUAAUACCGCAUACGACCUACGGGUGAAAGCAGGGGAUCUUCGGACCUUGCGCGAUUGAAUGAGCCGAUGUCGGAUUAGCUAGUUGGCGGGGUAAAGGCCCACCAAGGCGACGAUCCGUAGCUGGUCUGAGAGGAUGAUCAGCCACACUGGAACUGAGACACGGUCCAGACUCCUACGGGAGGCAGCAGUGGGGAAUAUUGGACAAUGGGCGCAAGCCUGAUACAGCCAUACCGCGUGUGUGAAGAAGGCGUUCGGGUUGUAAAGCCCUUUUGUUGGGAAAGAAAAGCAGCAGGUUAAUACCCCGCUGUUCUGACGGUACCCAAAGAAUAAGCACCGGCUAACUUCGUG
This 492-nucleotide ribosomal RNA is filed under the name uncultured bacterium. RNAcentral describes it as "partial 16S ribosomal RNA". It matches the Rfam family "Bacterial small subunit ribosomal RNA", at positions 29 to 507 of the family's 1533-position model. The record is from RNAcentral.